Molecule: ribosomal RNA, 253 nt
Filed under: uncultured bacterium
Lineage: Bacteria
Description: partial 16S ribosomal RNA
Rfam family: Bacterial small subunit ribosomal RNA
Source: RNAcentral
UACGGAGGAUGCAAGCGUUAUCCGGAAUGAUUGGGCGUAAAGCGUCCGCAGGUGGCGAUGUAAGUCUGCUGUUAAAGAGUCUAGCUCAACUAGAUAAGAGCAGUGGAAACUACAUAGCUAGAGUACGUUCGGGGCAGAGGGAAUUCCUGGUGUAGCGGUGAAAUGCGUAGAGAUCAGGAAGAACACCAGUGGCGAAGGCGCUCUGCUAGGCCGCAACUGACACUGAGGGACGAAAGCUAGGGGAGCGAAUGGG